CACACACACACACACACACAGCCUUAAAUGCUCAAAACACACCCAUAUAGACCCAAAAACAUUCGUGAACACACUCAAACACACACAGAACCAAGCUAAACACACACACACAAUGAAGUGAAGUGUUACCAUAUUCCCAGGCAGUUUUUAGCAGCACAAGCGGCAAGACAAGAGUGAACCAGCAGUGCAAGGCAAGCCACCAUGACCUGCAGCCUUCACCACACCCCUCCUUCACUUACUCAAGGCUCACACGUCAAGACGGAAGCAACAGAAGGAAGAAGAAGGAGAAACAAAGGAGGAGGACGAAGAAGAAACGAGAAAUAGAGGCGGAAUAGGAGAAGGAGCCAAGGUGUAAUAUUUAGCCCUGUCCAUCCUGCAGCCCCCGCGAGUGAUCCUGUACGCCCUGCCGCUGCUGCCGCUCCUGCUGGUGGUGACCCUGACAAUGAGAGUCAACCUGUGCUCUGUUCUCAGGGACUUGUACCAUUAUCGUGUGCUGUGAGAGGCGUAGAGCACUGUCUGGCUGCACCCUCCGCCCUGCGCCCUCUCUCUCUCUCUCUCUCUCUCUCUCUCGUAUCAUAUUGCACCUUUUUGUGUGUUAAAUAGUUUGAAUAAAGGAAAAUGUUGACUAAUCAUUAUUAUUAUUAUUGUUAUUAUUAUUAUUAUUGUUAUUAUUGUUGUUGUUUUGACG
Portunus trituberculatus (swimming crab) is the source of this 688-nucleotide long non-coding RNA. RefSeq lists it as uncharacterized. The transcript is spliced from 3 exons. Lineage: Eukaryota; Metazoa; Arthropoda; Malacostraca; Decapoda; Portunidae. The record is from RefSeq and is a predicted model, not a curated record.